Molecule: non-coding RNA, 592 nt
Organism: Linepithema humile (Argentine ant)
Lineage: Eukaryota; Metazoa; Arthropoda; Insecta; Hymenoptera; Formicidae
Source: RefSeq, a predicted model, not a curated record
UAACGUAAAAUAAUCUCUUACUACCAAUUAAAUCUAUUGUUUUUCAAAAAUAUUUUUGAUACAUUUGUUAAAAGAGCAAAAAAAAUUAAUUUCUCAGUGAUGGGGUAACUGGAUGUGGUCUCUAUCUUGCGUUGAGUUUCAUGCUGGAGCGAAUGGCCGUCGACAGAGAAUGCGAUGUUUGCUUGGCGGUGCGAGCAAUUAGACGAUCGAGACCAGAUUUUGUUCAAUCUUUGGAACAUCUGGAAUAUCUAUGUGAUGCUGCAGUAACAUAUUUCAAGUGUUUUGAAACUUAUGCUAACUUCUCUUAAAAUAUCAAUCUUAUACGCGAAUGUGAUAUAAUAUAAUAUUAUAAUUAUAAAUAUUACAGUUAAUAUAUACUCAUGCUUACUAAUAUACAACUAAAUAUUUUAUUGUUUUUGUAAUCAGAUGUAUGUGAAAUAUUAUAGUGAAGAAUCAGGUCCGCAUUUAUACUUUUGGAGGCCCCAGGCGCAACAUCAUUAUGAGGCCUCAAUAGAACAAGUCUAUUUCAAUUAAUCAAAUUCAUAUGCAUUUUUUUUAAGUGUUUAUUGAAAAUAAAAGUCGAUAUGCAUUA